UUCACGUGAAGAAAGCGAGGAAAUGGUGGGCAAAGUAGUGGAAGCUGGAACAGGCAACAAGGCAGCAAGGCGGCUGCAUGAAGCAGCCAGGUUCAACAGCCUGCCAUGCUCUGCAAAAUUCUUGCUGUGAGGCUUGAGUGCCACCUGCUCCGAGUGGUUCUUGCCACUACAAGCUGCUUCUGCCACUUGUCCAUCCAUAUACUGAUUCUGAUCAUCAGAUGGAUUCGAAUGCACUUCCUCAUCACUUCCAUCAAGCUGGUCAAUCCCAUUAGAGCUUUUUUGAGGAAUCUCAUGCUCAUGCAAUGAACUAGAACCAAGAUUAGGAAGCGUCCACCUAGUCUCUGGAGAGUAGGUUUGAUCAGCUAUGCUACUCUCAGUCUGUGGAGCUUCUGAAUGAUUUUGAUGGGGGGAAGCAUCUAACAUCUGGAUAGGCUCAACAUCGAUAAGGUCUGGUGAAGCAUCUAACUUCUGGAUAGGCUCAACAUCAAUAAGGUCUGGUGAAGCAUCUAACUUCUGGAUAGGCUCAACGUCAAUAAGGUCUGGUGAAGCAUCUAACUUCUGGAUAGGCCCAACGUCAAUAAGGUCUGGUGAUGAUCCCUUUGACAGGCGUUUACUGCGCCUAAGAUGAGGACACUCAUUUGAAGAAUUCAUCAAAUUCUUGUUUUUUCUCUUACGAUUUCCUUUAGUAUUUUCGGUGCUCUUUAUAUUUUUGUCUGAUGGCUUGCAGACAUAGUCCACCUUUUCCUGCCCCAUGUGGACUCCGUCACUAGGAUUUUCACCUUCCUGCUGCUCAUGGUCAACUUGAUGAUGAGAACGUGCCUGCUCAUGCUCGAUGGUACUAGGGACAGACACAUGUCCAGUUCUCUGCUUGCCGUGCAUUAACACUCUGUCCGCCUGGUUUAUAUGAACCGAAGACUCUGUGGGCAUUACUUGUGCCUGUGAUGCGUGGACAUUUAUCAAAUUAUUGUUUUUCCUCUUAUGAUUUCCUUCAGUAUUUUCGCCUCUCUUCCUAUUUUCGCUUGAUGGCUUGCAAGCAGAGUCCACCGUUUCCUGCUCCAUGUGGACUGUGUCAAUGGGAUUUUCACCUGCCUGCUGCUCAUGGACAACUUGAUGCCGAGAAUGUAUCUGCCCAUGCUCGAUAGCACUAGGGACAUCCACAUGUUCAGUUAUCUGCUUGCUGUGAAUUGGAAUUGGGUCAUCAGGAAACCUUCCUACUGCCUGGUUUGUAUGAACUGCAGACUCUGUGGGCAUUACUUGAGCCUGUGAUGCAUGGACAACCUGGUUAGGCUGCUCUUUUUGGACAUUUCCUUCUUGCCACGAUUUUGGACCAAAUACAAAUCUAUAUGUUCUCUUGUCAGACCUGGCAAUAUUUCCUUGGACAGGUUCAGUAUGUGACUCCUCCCUAUGGGCUGAAGCAUUAGGAAGCUCAUUUUGCAGUGUCCUUGCUGCAUCAGUUUGUGUCCUCUUGCCAGGCCUGGCAAUAGUUCCUUGGACAGGUUCAGUAUGUGACUCAUCCCUACGGAUUGAAGGAUUAGGAGGCUCAGUUUGUAGCGUCCUUGCUGCAUCAAUCUGUGUUCUUGGCUCAGCUCUAAAUGAAUUGAAGGACUCCUCUCCAAAAUAAUGCUUGUAUUGUUGUCCAUGUUUAGGAGGCUCAGUUUGUAGCGUCCUUGCUGCAUCAAUCUGUGUUCUUGGCUCAGCUCUAAAUGAAUUGAAGGACUCCUCUCCAAAAUAAUGCUUGUAUUGUUGUCCAUGUGUCUGCUCUGAAUGAAUGGGCUUUUGAACCAUUCCUGCACGAGUUGAUUGACUCGAAGGCUGCUGCACCUGCUGCACAAUAUCGGUCAACAAAGAGAAGAAAAUUGAACAAUAUAUACAGUGCAUGAUAUACUCACUCUGCUAAAUAAAGUAUCACAAUGGUAACUGUGGACAAUUCUUUGUCAGCUUUAACCAACAUCUAAACAAAAAUUGGAUUAAUCACAUGAGAACUGUAUAAGUUUGUCAUGGAUACAUAUUCAUAACGGGUACAAAUUCCAGUGAAGCAUCCAAUGGCGAUAGCGAGUGGAG
RNAcentral lists this long non-coding RNA (2061 nucleotides) under Hordeum vulgare. RNAcentral's name for it is "long non-coding RNA (HVUL_LNC005487)". Lineage: Eukaryota; Viridiplantae; Streptophyta; Magnoliopsida; Poales; Poaceae. The record is from RNAcentral.